This 606-nucleotide ribosomal RNA is filed under the name Aureobasidium pullulans. RNAcentral's name for it is "LSU rRNA". It matches the Rfam family "Eukaryotic large subunit ribosomal RNA", at positions 1 to 614 of the family's 3401-position model. Lineage: Eukaryota; Fungi; Ascomycota; Dothideomycetes; Dothideales; Saccotheciaceae. The record is from RNAcentral.
UUGACCUCGGAUCAGGUAGGGAUACCCGCUGAACUUAAGCAUAUCAAUAAGCGGAGGAAAAGAAACCAACAGGGAUUGCCCUAGUAACGGCGAGUGAAGCGGCAACAGCUCAAAUUUGAAAGCUAGCCUUCGGGUUCGCAUUGUAAUUUGUAGAGGAUGAUUUGGGGAAGCCGCCUGUCUAAGUUCCUUGGAACAGGACGUCAUAGAGGGUGAGAAUCCCGUAUGUGACAGGAAAUGGCACCCUAUGUAAAUCUCCUUCGACGAGUCGAGUUGUUUGGGAAUGCAGCUCUAAAUGGGAGGUAAAUUUCUUCUAAAGCUAAAUAUUGGCGAGAGACCGAUAGCGCACAAGUAGAGUGAUCGAAAGAUGAAAAGCACUUUGGAAAGAGAGUUAAAAAGCACGUGAAAUUGUUGAAAGGGAAGCGCUUGCAAUCAGACUUGUUUAAACUGUUCGGCCGGUCUUCUGACCGGUUUACUCAGUUUGGACAGGCCAGCAUCAGUUUCGGCGGCCGGAUAAAGGCUCUGGGAAUGUGGCCUCCACUUCGGUGGAGGUGUUAUAGCCCAGGGUGUAAUACGGCCAGCCGGGACUGAGGUCCGCGCUUCGGCUAG